RNAcentral lists this ribosomal RNA (466 nucleotides) under uncultured bacterium. Its description in RNAcentral is "partial 16S ribosomal RNA". It matches the Rfam family "Bacterial small subunit ribosomal RNA", at positions 28 to 507 of the family's 1533-position model. The record is from RNAcentral.
GACGAACGCUGGCGGCGCGCCUAACACAUGCAAGUCGAACGAGCGAGAGGGAGCUUGCUUUCUCGAGCGAGUGGCGAACGGGUGAGUAACGCGUGAGGAACCUGCCUCAAAGAGGGGGACAACAGUUGGAAACGACUGCUAAUACCGCAUAAGCCCACGGUGCCGCAUGGCACAGAGGGAAAAGGAGCAAUCCGCUUUGAGAUGGCCUCGCGUCCGAUUAGCUAGUUGGUGAGGUAAUGGCCCACCAAGGCGACGAUCGGUAGCCGGACUGAGAGGUUGAACGGCCACAUUGGGACUGAGACACGGCCCAGACUCCUACGGGAGGCAGCAGUGGGGAAUAUUGCACAAUAGGGGAAACCCUGAUGCAGCGACGCCGCGUGGAGGAAGAAGGUCUUCGGAUUGUAAACUCCUGUUGUUGGGGAAGAUAAUGACGGUACCCAACAAGGAAGUGACGGCUAACUACGUG